RNAcentral lists this ribosomal RNA (129 nucleotides) under Saccharomyces cerevisiae (brewer's yeast). Its description in RNAcentral is "partial 18S ribosomal RNA". It matches the Rfam family "Eukaryotic small subunit ribosomal RNA", at positions 1678 to 1804 of the family's 1831-position model. The record is from RNAcentral. Lineage: Eukaryota; Fungi; Ascomycota; Saccharomycetes; Saccharomycetales; Saccharomycetaceae.
GCUAGUACCGAUUGAAUGGCUUAGUGAGGCCUCAGGAUCUGCUUAGAGAAGGGGGCAACUCCAUCUCAGAGCGGAGAAUUUGGACAAACUUGGUCAUUUAGAGGAACUAAAAGUCGUAACAAGGUUUCC